UUUCUAAUUGUUGCAGUUUCCCUGGUAAGGCCGUAGGAGUUUCAAUCGGUGGCUCUGCUGCUUCUGCUCCUGCUCAAGCUGAGGUACCCUUUACUCGAAAGCUUGAGUCUUGUUCGAAUCUUAAUCUAUGUUCUCUAUGAUCUAAGUUCAUCUUAAUGCUUUGAUAUGGUGAUCAUUAUGAACUGUGAACAGGCACCUGCAGCUGCUGCAGCUGAUGAUGAUGAUGACAUGGAUCUGUUUGGUGACGAGACCGAGGAGGAAAAGAAAGCUGCAGAGGAGAGGGAGGCUGCUAAGAAGGACACCAAGAAGCCCAAAGAGAG
RNAcentral lists this long non-coding RNA (320 nucleotides) under Brassica napus (rape). RNAcentral's name for it is "long non-coding RNA (BNAP_LNC008872)". The record is from RNAcentral. Lineage: Eukaryota; Viridiplantae; Streptophyta; Magnoliopsida; Brassicales; Brassicaceae.